AAGACCAAGCCAAGAAGCCCCCUGUGUUCUUCCYUCCGUCUGCUGCCGCACCCGCCACAGCACCAGAAAGAUUCCUAGUCCUCCACUCCUCCUCCACUUGAGAGUGCCCCACGCAGCCCACUGCUGGGCAGAGGCCGCGCGCGGCGCCAGCGCCACCACCCCUUUCUCUUCUCCCCUCUCCCGUCACAUCCUCCACCCAAUGUGGCAUAUAAAUCCCAGAUCCAGAUCUCCCACCUCCCUCUUGUUUGUAUAGCCAGGCAGCCAGCCUCACCAUGUGAUCUCUCGCAGGUGUUUCUUGUGUUGUUCCAUCCUUAUUUUGCAUUGAUGUCAAGGUUUUUUUUUUUUUGUCAGACCCAUCUACGGGUGGUGUCUGGGCGCAGUGGUUUAUCGAUCUCUUCCUUGCCUUGUGCUGGUCCGGCCGGGAGUGGUGGUUCAAGCGUUUUAUUGUUGCAGCAGCUCGCAAACAACGCGGGAAUCGGUCGAUAAACCUCUGCAUCCAGCUCUCACUGCGGUUAAGGGCAUGAGCUAGGCAGCAGUGACUGACUGACUGCUGCUUCUUCUUUGCGUUCUGGGUUCCUGCUCCUUCUGAGUUUAUUAUGUCUAGUGUCUCCAAGUUAUGCUUGAUAUUACUCUGCGCGUGAUUUGACCAUCGAAA
RNAcentral lists this non-coding RNA (655 nucleotides) under Zea mays. The record is from RNAcentral. Lineage: Eukaryota; Viridiplantae; Streptophyta; Magnoliopsida; Poales; Poaceae.